Molecule: ribosomal RNA, 340 nt
Filed under: uncultured bacterium
Lineage: Bacteria
Description: bacterial SSU rRNA
Rfam family: Bacterial small subunit ribosomal RNA
Source: RNAcentral
AAAACAGCCCUACGGGAGGCAGCAGUGGGGAAUAUUGCGCAAUGGAGGAAACUCUGACGCAGCGACGCCGCGUGAGUGAUGAAGGCCUUCGGGUUGUAAAGCUCUGUCGGCUGGGAAAAAUACCGAGUGCUCAUACCACUCGGUGAUGAUGGUACCAGCAAAGGAAGCACCGGCUAACUCUGUGCCAGCAGCCGCGGUAAUACAGAGGGUGCGAGCGUUGUUCGGAAUUACUGGGCGUAAAGCGCGUGUAGGCGGUCUAGAAAGUCAGGUGUGAAAUCCCGGAGCUUAACUCCGGACGUGCACUUGAAACUCCUAGGCUUGAGUAUGGUAGAGGAUGUGG